AUACCCAUAUGGAGUUUAUUUAAAUUGAAAAGUGUUAAGUAUUUGUUUCCGUAAAGAGUGGUAGUGUGUGUGCGUAAUAUUCGCUGUUUGUAAUAAUUCUCAUUAUUUUCUUUUGUAAUCGGAAAAGGGGUAACAGAUGGGUUGGGUAAGUAUUGCACCAAAUGGGUAUGCAAUAACUUAGAAUGGGUAAGACAUGAGCAUCAUAUAUGAUUUUCAAAACAUAACGAGGCAUAUGAUCUUUAAUUUUAUAGAGAGGGGCAAUUAUUUUAGAUAGUUUAAGGCACAUAUUUGAUAUAUGAGGUUUGAAUGUCAGGGAGUCAUCAAAAAUGAUCCCUAAUAGUGUAUGCUGGGUUGUUCUUUUUAUUAUACUGUAAUUAUAAAAUAAUGGAGGUAGAGAUUGUGUAUGUUUGUUGGUGAAUAGCAUAUAAUAAGUUUUAUUUUGAUUUACUGUUAAUCUAUUGCUCACACACCAUUUAUAGAAGAUAUCCAUUUCCGAAUUGGCUUUAUGUACCAUGGCAGUUGGGUCUGUACCAGUUAUAUAUAGAGUUGAGUCAUCGGCAAAUAAUAUAGUUUUACAAUUUUUGAAUAUAUGUGGUAGGUCAUUAAUGUAAAUUGAAAAUAGAAUUGGACCUAGAACACUUCCCUGUGGUAUUCCAUAUUUAAUAAGCCGUGGUGUGGAGGAGUGGUCGAGCAAUUUAGUGGAUUGAGUUCUGUUUAUCAAGUAGUCUCUGAACCAGUCAUGUAUGAUCCCUCUAAUGCCUCUAAUGCGCAGUUCACGAGAGACCAGUGAUUGUAAACAAAAGCGCCAGCUUUUGACGAUGGGACACCAAAUAACACAACACCGGGUGCCUUCAAUACCAUGGCAUGCUCACAAACGAAUAUGGAAUAUCAAAUUUGAGACAGUGAAUAAUAUUUUUUGGGGCAAAGUUAACUGAUUUUUCUCUUUGAUAUAUUGAUUUUUGAGUCUUACAUAAAAAAUACCCUAGUGUUUUAAUGUUGAUGAUCUAUGUAUGAAAUCUCUUCACCGAAGAUAUUUCAUACCCCGAAGUUUUUUCAUACAACACCGGGCGCCUGGGCCACGCAUGCGCAGUAGGGAGGAGACAACGUUUUUUUCUGAGAGGCGGAAAAAAAAUAGCGAUUAUCGCUGGUUUGGUUACAAAAGUAAUGAAGAUACUGAUAUAUAUUCAAAUAAGUAGCAGAUGGCCGAUAACCCGAUUUUGUUAUCAGUGAUAAAGUAUCGCAAUAACUUAUCGCGAUAACGCCCAGCUAUGGAAAUACAUGUCCCUUGUCCAUAAUAUGAAAGCGGAAAAACUUAAAAAUAAUGAAAAAGUGGUAAAGGUAGUGAAAAGGCAUAUUAUACAUACGCUACAUACACUAUGUUAAAGGAUGGGAGUUGAUUGAGUAAACCUCGAUCUCUUUGGAGUACUACCACAUGCUGGAGAAUCCGAUGGGUGCUUGUGAGCCAUGGUUAAUUGGUGGUAAGUUGGUAACACACUGAACAAACGGGGAGAGAGACGCUACCACAGCCGUGCGUGGGUAAAGAAUGAGCAGCGCGGCCCGGGUGGCGGUGUCACGGGCAAAAUUGACCCUUGGGCAAAAUUGAGCCCGGGCAUCCACGUGCCUCUGUUAUCUUAGCUCAAGCUCGUGUAUGUGGGCUUCUUUUCGACUGAUAUGGCGUCUAGAGCUAGCAUGAUCAUCAUUCUUUAUUAUGAUGACAAAGAUCAUGUCAAAAUUUGCCUCAUUAAAUAAGAAAUUACAUAAAGAUCGGCAGCUUUUCCUCGUCGCCAAGACAUCCUCCAGCAGCGCUCCGACACCCAUGCUCGCACAUUCAUUUUUCUCAGAAAAUAGGAUACCAAUCACAUUUACAUCAACAUAUUUCCACAGGUGAAUACUUAGGGCAUGUUCACACCAAGUUGCGACGCCUGAGAUUCAUUAAUAAUGACGGGGAAAGGAAAAAUAUAGGGCCCUGUCAUCGACAAAAUUGAGCCUCGGGCAGAAUUGAGCCGGGGCAUCUAUAUGCCUCAGAUUUCUUCGCUAUUAUAUGUUGUAAGAUCGUUUUGUUGACAUGUAUGGGUAGAUUAAGGCUAUCUGUAUCUACAUAUAGAAGGAAAACGCAAAAUUCGCCCUAGUAAAUCGGAAACUACAUAAAGUUCGGCAGUUUUUCCUUGUCGCCAAGACAUCCUCCAGCAGCGCUCCGACACCCAUGAUCGCACAUUCAUUUUUCACAAAAAAUAGGAUACCAAUCACAUUUGCAUCGACAUAUUUCCACAGGUGAAUACUUAGGGCAUGUUCACACCAAGUUGCGACAGCUGAAGUUCAUUAAUUAUGACAGGGGAAGGAAAAAUGUAGGGCCUUCCUUGUCUCUAAUUUACCGACGUCCAUGAAACCGUACAUGGCCUGAGAUGGUGCCAAGGACCAAGGCAUCUGGCGCAAUGCAUCAACCUCAACUAUUACUGCUACAAGCCUGCAUCUUGCCAUUUCAACGUAAUGGAGCAAAAUAACCCCGGUCAAAGUGAGCAAGAGUUUGUGCAUUUGCACACUGUGAAGCAGUGGCUACGAGGGGAAGAGCCAAAUAUGUUGCCACGCAAAAAGAAGAACCUGAAGAGAUUAAAAGAAAAAUGCUCUCCUGGUGAAGGGUGAAGAUUGUCAUCGAAUAAUAUAAACUAUAUCUCAUCAAAGUGGCCGAGGGGAGGAGGCGGCAGGUUCUCCUGCAUCAGAACAUAUUGCGCAUCCUUGCCCAGUAUCAUGAUGAUGCAGGCCACUGUGGUCAACAUACCACAGAGGAAAACAUUGCCUUUUAUUAUUACUGGCCAAGGACAUUAUGUCAAAGACUAAGUGAUUAGACAGUACAUUUGUUCAUUUUCACCAUGUCAGUGAUG
Eriocheir sinensis (Chinese mitten crab) is the source of this 2879-nucleotide long non-coding RNA. RefSeq lists it as uncharacterized. Lineage: Eukaryota; Metazoa; Arthropoda; Malacostraca; Decapoda; Varunidae. The transcript is spliced from 4 exons. The record is from RefSeq and is a predicted model, not a curated record.